AAUAGAUACCCAGGUAGUCCACGCCGUAAACGAUGAGUGCUAAGUGUUAGGGGGUUUCCGCCCCUUAGUGCUGCAGCUAACGCAUUAAGCACUCCGCCUGGGGAGUACGGUCGCAAGACUGAAACUCAAAGGAAUUGACGGGGGCCCGCACAAGCGGUGGAGCAUGUGGUUUAAUUCGAAGCAACGCGAAGAACCUUACCAGGUCUUGACAUCCCAUUGACCACUAUGGAGACAUAGUUUUCCCUUCGGGGACAACGGUGACAGGUGGUGCAUGGUUGUCGUCAGCUCGUGUCGUGAGAUGUUGGGUUAAGUCCCGCAACGAGCGCAACCCUUGUUCUUAGUUGCCAUCAUUUAGUUGGGCACUCUAAGGAGACUGCCGGUGACAAACCGGAGGAAGGUGGGGAUGACGUCAAAUCAUCAUGCCCCUUAUGACCUGGGCUACACACGUGCUACAAUGGACGGUACAAACGGUUGCCAACCCGCGAGGGGGAGCUAAUCCGGAUAAAACCCGUUCUCAGUUCGGAUUGUAGGCUGCAACUCGCCUACA
RNAcentral lists this ribosomal RNA (547 nucleotides) under uncultured bacterium. Its description in RNAcentral is "bacterial SSU rRNA". It matches the Rfam family "Bacterial small subunit ribosomal RNA", at positions 777 to 1320 of the family's 1533-position model. The record is from RNAcentral.